GUGGACGUAGCUCAGUGGUAGAGCGCCGGUUUGUCUGCAUCGCCCCUGGUCGCGUAUGCGAAUGCAGGUGUGGACUACAGGGUACCGGAGGCCAGAGGUUCGAGCCCUCUCGCCCACC
This 118-nucleotide transfer RNA is filed under the name Deltaproteobacteria bacterium. RNAcentral's name for it is "tRNA-OTHER". It matches the Rfam family "tRNA". Rfam says of the family: Transfer RNA (tRNA) molecules are approximately 80 nucleotides in length. Their secondary structure includes four short double-helical elements and three loops (D, anti-codon, and T loops). Lineage: Bacteria; Pseudomonadati; Myxococcota; Myxococcia. The record is from RNAcentral. RNAcentral also lists the same sequence under 1 other name.